AUUGAACGCUGGCGGCAGGCCUAACACAUGCAAGUCGAGCGGAUGAAGGGAGCUUGCUCCUGGAUUCAGCGGCGGACGGGUGAGUAAUGCCUAGGAAUCUGCCUGGUAGUGGGGGAUAACGUCCGGAAACGGGCGCUAAUACCGCAUACGUCCUGAGGGAGAAAGUGGGGGAUCUUCGGACCUCACGCUAUCAGAUGAGCCUAGGUCGGAUUAGCUAGUUGGUGGGGUAAAGGCCUACCAAGGCGACGAUCCGUAACUGGUCUGAGAGGAUGAUCAGUCAAACUGGAACUGAGACAAGGUCCAGAAUCCCUAGGGAGGCAGCAGUGGGGAAUAUUGGACAAUGGGCGAAAGCCUGAUCCAGCCAUGCCGCGUGUGUGAAGAAGGUCUUCGGAUUGUAAAGCACUUUAAGUUGGGAGGAAGGGCAGUAAGUUAAUACCUUGCUGUUUUGACGUUACCAACAGAAUAAGCACCGGCUAACUUCGUG
Molecule: ribosomal RNA, 484 nt
Filed under: uncultured bacterium
Lineage: Bacteria
Description: partial 16S ribosomal RNA
Rfam family: Bacterial small subunit ribosomal RNA
Source: RNAcentral